AAAGCGGGCAGAGAGCAUCUGCCAACUGCUGUGAACAACCAAUUGUUGCCUCGGCGGAUCAGCCCGCUCCCGGUAAAACGGGACGGCCCGCCAGAGACCCCUAAACUCUGUUUCUAUAUGUAACUUCUGAGUAAAACCAUAA
Molecule: ribosomal RNA, 142 nt
Filed under: Fusarium verticillioides
Lineage: Eukaryota; Fungi; Ascomycota; Sordariomycetes; Hypocreales; Nectriaceae
Description: partial 18S ribosomal RNA
Source: RNAcentral